Molecule: transfer RNA, 73 nt
Filed under: Candidatus Latescibacterota bacterium
Lineage: Bacteria; Pseudomonadati; Candidatus Latescibacterota
Description: tRNA-Trp
Rfam family: tRNA
About the family: Transfer RNA (tRNA) molecules are approximately 80 nucleotides in length.
Source: RNAcentral
AGGGGUGUAGCUCAACUGGUAGAGCAUCGGUCUCCAAAACCGGAGGCUGCGGGUUCAAGUCCUGCCACCCCUA